RNAcentral lists this ribosomal RNA (568 nucleotides) under Strigea sp. 2 CP-2015. Its description in RNAcentral is "partial 28S ribosomal RNA". Lineage: Eukaryota; Metazoa; Platyhelminthes; Trematoda; Diplostomida; Strigeidae. The record is from RNAcentral.
GAGAGUAAACAGUGCGUGAAACCGCUCAGAGGUAAACGGGUGGAGUUGAACUGUAAGCUCCGGGAAUUCAGCUGGUGAGUGUGUCAUGGGCUUGGUCAUUUUCGGCCGGCCUCUAGAGUCCGCUUAGCUGCGGGUCCUUGCUUCUUCGGGAGUAGGGAUGUGCGUUGCGCUUGUCAAGUGCUGUGCGCUCUGGAGGUUGCCGGGCUGGCUCGCCAGUGCACUUUCUCGGAGUGGUCACCACGACCGGCGUUGUUGUCUUGCUGCUGUGGUCGAACCGGCUGGGUUUGGUCCUUGUGGCUGAACUUGGUCGGGAUGGCAGGUAGCUCAUUGGUUGGCUUGUCCAGCCUUUGGGUGUAAUCAGCUGUCUGCAGCGGUAUUGUGCAAUGCGUCGGAGACUGCGGCUUCAGAUAUUUGCUUUUGUGCCGUUGGCCGGCAGUGUUGGGUUUGACUGGCGUGUUACUUGCUUCGGUGGGUCCGUCGGUAGCUCAGUGCUGUUCGGUUAGCGGUUGCUUGAGUGAUAUCGUACAUGGGCCCAUAGUCUGUGGUGUAGCAGCAAACGAUCCACCUG